UUGGAAUAGCCAAAGGGCUUGAAUACCUACAUGGUGGAUGCAACACUCGAAUUUUACAUUUGGACAUCAAACCGCAUAACAUCCUUUUGGAUGAAAAUUUUCACCCUAAGAUUGCUGAUUUUGGGCUCUCUAAACUAUGCUCCAGAAAAGAAUGUAUUACAUCAAUGGAUGAUGCAAGGGGGACAAUUGGGUACAUUGCUCCUGAAGUAUACAGUAGAAGCUUUGGAAGAGUUUCACAUAAGUCGGACGUGUAUAGCUAUGGGAUGCUGAUUUUAGAAAUGGCCAGUGGAAGGACGAAUGCAAACAUUAGAAUAGAUGAUGCAAGUAAAAUAUAUUUUCCACAUUGGAUCUAUCACCGUCUCCAAUUCGAAAAUGACUUGGGACUAUAUUCUGUCAGGACCAAAGAGGAAGAUGAAAUUGCAAGAAGACUGCUAUUGGUGGGGUUGUGGUGCAUACAGACAAACCCUUCCCAUAGACCAUCUAUGAGCAAGGUUUUGCUCAUGUUGGAAGCUUGUAGUAAAGAAUUGGAAA
Molecule: unclassified non-coding RNA, 531 nt
Filed under: Hevea brasiliensis (rubber tree)
Lineage: Eukaryota; Viridiplantae; Streptophyta; Magnoliopsida; Malpighiales; Euphorbiaceae
Source: RNAcentral